AGAGUUUGAUCCUGGCUCAGAGUGAACGCUGGCGGCGUGCCUAACACAUGCAAGUCGAACGAGAACGGGUUACAGCUUGCUGUAACUGUCAGCUAAGUGGCGCACGGGUGAGUAAUAUAUAGUUAAUCUGCCCCAAAGAAGAGAAUAAUUGUUGGAAACGACUUGUAAUGCUCUAUAUGCCUUUAUUACAUAAGUAAGCAAGGGAAACAUUUAUGGCUUUGGGAUGAGACUGUACGGUAUCAGCUAGUUGGUGAGGUAAUGGCUCACCAAGGCUAUGACAUCUAACUGGUUUGAGAGGAUGAUCAGUCACACUGGAACUGAGACACGGUCCAGACUCCUACGGGAGGCAGCAGUGGGGAAUAUUGCACAAUGGAGGAAACUCUGAUGCAGCAACGCCGCGUGGAGGAUGACACAUUUCGGUGCGUAAACUCCUUUUAUAUGAGAAGAUAAUGACGGUAUCAUAUGAAUAAGCACCGGCUAACUCCGUGCCAGCAGCCGCGGUAAUACGGGGGGUGCAAGCGUUACUCGCAAUCACUGGGCGUAAAGAGAAUGUAGGCUGGUUAUUAAGUUGGAAGUGAAAUCCUAUGGCUCAA
RNAcentral lists this ribosomal RNA (593 nucleotides) under uncultured bacterium. RNAcentral describes it as "bacterial SSU rRNA". It matches the Rfam family "Bacterial small subunit ribosomal RNA", at positions 8 to 612 of the family's 1533-position model. The record is from RNAcentral.